AACAGACAAUUAGAGAGCUUAAAAUGUUGAUUGGUUUCAGUCCGUCAGAUAGUCUGAUUUAGCGCAGUUCCAUGUGUUAUUGUUGUACCUUAGUUUUCAUUUCUCUUUCAUGUACAUAUUAUCACGAUUGUUACAGAAUCUAUAAAAAAUACUCCCUGCCAGUCAAAAUUAGGGCUAAAAAUGCCGAAAUCACUAAUUAAGGAGUACUCAUUGCAAAGAACACUCCACCUUCCCAGGUCACGACAAGUGGCGCACAUGCAGCGCGCCACUUGUCGCAACCUGAUAGUUUUCCCUUUUUUGUAGAUCCGUUUAUUCAAAAUGUUUUAUCUCUUAAACCGUGCGUCCAAAUCUCAAACCGUUUUCACCAUUGGAUUCCUCGCGUCGAGAUCUCCAAAACUAGAUCCCAUGUUGAUAGGUUUUGACACAAAAAAAUUCAUGAAAAAACCGGACCAAAAAACCGAACGAAAAAACAAAACCGGGAGCACGUUUUUUCCCUUUCUGAAAGAGGCACGCCCGUGCCUUUCGCGAAUCACAACCGUGCCUCUCGGGGAAGCAAAACCGUGACUCUCGUGGAAGGAAAAAAAACAGAAAACGCGUUUUUUUCCUUUUCGAAAGAGGCACGCCCGUGACUCUCGCGAAAGCACAACCGUGCCUCUGGCGAAAGCAAAAC
RNAcentral lists this long non-coding RNA (670 nucleotides) under Triticum aestivum (bread wheat). RNAcentral describes it as "long non-coding RNA (TAES_LNC023843)". The record is from RNAcentral. Lineage: Eukaryota; Viridiplantae; Streptophyta; Magnoliopsida; Poales; Poaceae.